RNAcentral lists this ribosomal RNA (253 nucleotides) under uncultured bacterium. Its description in RNAcentral is "partial 16S ribosomal RNA". It matches the Rfam family "Bacterial small subunit ribosomal RNA", at positions 524 to 776 of the family's 1533-position model. The record is from RNAcentral.
UACGUAGGUGGCAAGCGUUGUCCGGAUUUAUUGGGUUUAAAGGGUGCGUAGGCGGUCUUUUAAGUCAGUGCUGAAAUAUCCCGGCUUAACCGGGAGGGUGGCAUUGAUACUGAAGGACUUGAGUAAAGUUGAGGUAGGCGGAAUUGACGGUGUAGCGGUGAAAUGCUUAGAUAUUACAUGGAAUACCAAUUGCGAAGGCAGGUUACUACUAAUGGAUUGACGCUGAUGGACGAAAGCGUGGGGAGCGAACAGG